Molecule: transfer RNA, 65 nt
Filed under: Gloeochaete wittrockiana
Lineage: Eukaryota; Glaucocystophyceae; Gloeochaetales; Gloeochaetaceae
Source: RNAcentral
GUAUGGCCGAGCGGUUAGGACUGCGCGCUUGGUAUCCCAAAGCUGGCGGGUUCAAGUCCCGGUGC